RNAcentral lists this ribosomal RNA (1281 nucleotides) under Lacanobia aliena. RNAcentral describes it as "16S ribosomal RNA". Lineage: Eukaryota; Metazoa; Arthropoda; Insecta; Lepidoptera; Noctuidae. The record is from RNAcentral.
UAAUUGGGGGGUUAAAGUAUUAUUUAUAGAAAAAAUUAAAAGUUUUAUAGUUAAUUAGUAUUGAUAAAGAAAUUUGAAAUAGUAAAAAAAAUUUAUUAAAAAGUAAUUUUAAUUUAAUGUAUCUUGUGUAUCAGAGUUUAUUAAAUAAUAUUUUUGAUAAUAAUUCUCGAAUUUAAAAGAGAUAAUUAAUUAUAAAAGUUAAUGUAGAAAAAUUAUUUUUAAUAAUUAAUUUGAAAUGAAAUGUUAAUCGUUUUUAAAUAUAUCUAGUUUUUUUAGAAAAAAAUUUAAUUUUAAAUUUUUACUUAUAAUUUAAUUAAUUAGUUAAUUUUAAAUUAUAAAUAUAAUUUUAUAUUUUAAGGGAUAAGCUUUAAAAAUUAAAGUUUUAUAAUUUUAAAUAAAAAUUUGAAAAUUUUAUGAUUUAAAUUGUUAAUAAAUUUUAUUUUAUUAUAAAUAAUUUCAUUAAAAUUAAAAUUUAAUUUAAUAUUUAAUUUUUUAUAGAAAAAUAAUUUUUAAUUUAAUAUAAUUAGUUAUAAUGAUAAAAUUAGUAUAGUUUAAUAUUAUGAAAUUAAAAUUAAUUUAAAUUAAUAAUAUAUUCAAAAGGAAUUCGGCAAAUAUUUAUUUUCACUUGUUUAUCAAAAACAUGUCUUUUUGUGGUUUAUUUAAAGUCUAAUCUGCCCACUGAUUAAAUAAAAAUUAAAGGGCUGCAGUAUUUUGACUGUACAAAGGUAGCAUAAUCAUUAGUCUCUUAAUUGGUGACUUGUAUGAAAGAUUGAAUGAAAAAUAUACUGUCUCUUGUUUAAUUUUUAGAAUUUAAUUUUUUAUUUAAAAAGUUAAAAUAAAAUAAAAAGACGAGAAGACCCUAUAGAGUUUUAUAAAUAGUUAUGUUAAAUAAUUAUUUGUUUAUUUUAAUAUUUUUAAUAAGUUAUUUAUUUUAUUGGGGUGAUAAAAAAAUAAGUUUAACUUUUUUUAUUUUAUUAACAAAAAUAAAUGAAUAUUUGAUCCAAUUUUAUUGAUUAUAAGAUUAAAUUACCUUAGGGAUAACAGCGUAAUUUUUUUUUUUAGUUCGUAUAAGAAAAAAAGUUUGCGACCUCGAUGUUGGAUUAAGAUAAAAUUUAAAUGCAAAAGUUUAAAAUUUUUGAUCUGUUCGAUCAUUAAAAUCUUACAUGAUCUGAGUUCAAACCGGUGUGAGCCAGGUUGGUUUCUAUCUUUUAUAAAUUUAAAUGUUUUAGUACGAAAGGAUUAAAUAUUUUAAUUAAAUUAAAUUAGUUUUGAAUUUUAUUA